Molecule: long non-coding RNA, 5316 nt
Filed under: Coffea arabica (coffee)
Lineage: Eukaryota; Viridiplantae; Streptophyta; Magnoliopsida; Gentianales; Rubiaceae
Description: long non-coding RNA (CARA_LNC004691)
Source: RNAcentral
CUCUCUUGCCAAGAAGGAAGAAAACUUCUUCAAUCUUCAAGCUUUCCACUAGCUCAAAUCAUCCAAAUCAAUCACACAAACUAGUUUCCACUCCAUACAAUCUUUCCAUUUAGUGUUAGUGGUGAGUUUGGUGAAGUUUUUGGAAGAGCUAAGGUGGUCUACAACUCCUCUUCUCUUGUUUACUAGGUAAGUGAUGAUUGAACAUCCUCUUAUAGCUAAUGAUGCUUAUUUUGUGCCUAAUGGUGACUUGAGUGAUGGAAUGUGUGAUUUAUUUCUUGAUUUGAAGUGAUUUGGUGAAGUUUUUAUUUUAUUGAGGAAUUUUCUGGUUUUAUAUGAAUGGGAUGUUGUGGCUAUUUUUGAUGAUUGGCAAUGGCUUAUAAUGACUCUAGUAGGUGUGAAUUAUUGAUAAUUGCAAUCAAUUUUGGGUUUGGUUUGAAAUGAGAAAAGUUAGGGUUGAUAACCCCUAAUUCUGUCCGGUUUUGGAUCAUUGGGUUAGAGGCCGAAUUGGACUUUGCUCAAAACAUAAAAGUUGUAGGUAUUGAUGAGUGUGAAGUGCCUAAAAAAUUUCAGGUCAUUUGGAUUAGUGUGGAGUGAGAUAUGUCGAUUUUACUGUUGCUGUUCUGGGUGAUCAGAAUGUGCGAACGGCGAUUGUAAUCGUCUGUUUUGACUGGAAUUGCUUUGGAUUUGGAUGUUGGUGUCUUCUGAUGAAAUGUAGAUUGAUGUCUUAGCUACCGUAUGCCUUUGGAAUCAAUGCAUUUGGACCUGUAUAGACUGAGUUAGACGAAUUACAGCAUUGUGUGAUUUGGGAACCUGCAAUUACGGUUCUGGUUUGGUAUUCUGCAUGUUUGACCUAGUUGUGCUAGGAUUUGGACUGAGUGGCCUUAUACAUUGUUGUAGCCCUGUCUUUUAGCUUCGAUAUGGUGGGUCUUACACCCUCAUCCGAUAAGCGUAGCGCAUUUUGUGCCAUUACCGUAUAAGGGGGCCAAAACUGUUUUUGUUGUUAGGGCUCAUAUAGUUACAUUUCCUAAUUUUCUGGUUUGCUAUAGUUACAUGUUCUGGUUUGUUGUUAUGCCGUCCAUUUAUUUUCUUGGAAAUUGAAUGAGUUAAAGUGGUGUUGAAAUGUAUUUUGUAUCACAUUGGGUGUAUUUCCUUGAGAAUUUCAUUUGGGUCUUUCAAAUAAGGAUUCGAGGGCUAAGUUCUAGUUAAAUUUGUAUAUUUCCGCAAGACAACUAAUGUGACCAUUUUACCAUUCGAAAACGAUAUUUCUUAGUCUAUCAAGUUGGAUUAUCAAUUGUUUUAAGUUAGGUAUUUUCCGUCGGAAACUUAAUAACCUUUUGGAGUUAGUUUUGUACUUAAUGUAUCAACCCUAGUUAUUUCAUCCACUGGCCCUAAUGGACUCCUUUCACUUUAAAGUCACCUUUAUUCGUUUUACUCGCUUUACUCGUAAUUAGCCGAAUUCCUUGAUUUCACUUACUUGUUUUGCUAUAUGCCUUGUAAUAUUCUUUCUCGUUAAAUCUUAGGUUUUCUCGGUGACCGAGGGUAAUAUCUGGAAGAAUAUUUUGCACGUUAUUUUGCGUAAUUAGGUGAGUGUUCCUUGCUUGUUACGUUUCAUGAUUAUAUGGCUUGUUUGAAUGAUUGAUAACAUGUUAAAUGCUUUCAAUGAUUGCUAAACGAGUUUUCGAGGCGAGUGUGUACUUUAUCGCACUUAGCCUAAAUGAUUGUGAAAUUUUAAUGACUGAGCGAUUGAAAUGUUAAUUGUGCAUGAAUGUAAGCCUUUUGGGCUGAACUGGCCAUUGCCCCUUGUUACCGGUCGUCUCGAGCCAGAAGCGGACUCGGUCGGGCGAUUAGGGACUUGGGUGAACGUUUCGGUAUACUCGAGUAUUACCUUGUAGGUUGGUGGAGCCUGGCCAAAAGCCAGGGACGGGGUGAAUGAAAUGAAUGAACGGAUGAAUGAAUGAGGGGUUUUACUUAUACAAAAUGCAUUUGUAAAAUGAUUGAAGGUAGGGGAACGAAAGGAGAAUGAAUGAAUGAACGAAUGAACGAAUGGCUCCUUGUGAGCCCGUAUCCUUUUCAUGAAUGUGUUUAUCGCUUUAUUUGUACUUGUAACUUGAAUUAUUGUUUAUAUGUACUGAAUGCAUUGCUUCUCUUAUUGCCUAUGUGUGCGGAACCUCACUGAGCUUUCCAGCUCAUUCCUUUAAUUUUUGUUUUCCUUAGCAGGGGAAGACGUGCAAGGUCGGAAGCUACGAAUAGACUAGCCGUUCUAGUACUUUUGAUUCUUUUGUUAUGGUUCUCGCCCCAAUAUUUGGUGGGCUGGUUGUAUGGAGAAUGGAGAACCGUUGUACAUAAGUCGUAUUGCUUUUGGGAUGGACAUGUAUAUAAGUUUACGUUUAAGUUUGGAAUUUUGUUAUUUCGAUUGUUUUGUGGGUUUUAUUGUCUUUUCUUAUCGUGACUGACUGAGUCCCGGCGAGAGCUGGGCAGGCGGCCCGCCGAACCCUCUGGUUCGCCUUAGGGGGAGGUGGGGCCGUUACAGUUGGUAUCAGAGCCAUAUGCCGACAGUUGGGACUUUAAGUCCUUCGUCUGGAAAAGCCCCGAGCCUCUCGUUCGUGAAGAGUCAUGAAGCGAAACUCUCCGUAGGGGAUGCCCGCGUGCGGGUGGCAAGCUGAUAGGUACCCUGUAAUGUGACCCUGAGAACUGUUACAGUUGGUAUCAGAGCCUGCUUCGCGUGGUCCCUGCGCGGAGUGAGCCUGGAUUGAGUGGUGAAUAGGUAAUUUUCCUGUGGAAUCUGAGGACCAUAGAUAGGUACGUCUGGGAGGAAUUCCGAUUGUAGAUGGUUUACUCUUGGGACUGGCCAGCUCGAGAGGUGAAUUAUCUUAUUUCGGAUUCUCGUACCCGAGUACUCCAGAGUUGAGGUAGUGCUAAGUAUUUGAGACUUGUAUUGUGGGAACAUGAACAGGCUUUGUUCGACUGGAAUGAGUACAAGAGGUUAAGGGAUAUCUGGUGUGAAUAGUAAGUGACGUGAGGGACCGGACGGGGUUACCUUAGCUAAGACUGGGACGACACAUCACCUCCUCGUUUGAUUCGCCUAUAUAUUCUUAUUGCAUGACGUUAGUUGGUGUAUUUGAGCAUAUGAAUGUUUGCCUGACUUGAUAUGUACUUGUGUAUUUGGUCAUCUAUUUGUGAUAUGUCGAGUGUUAAGUGCAUAUAUGUUUACUUGUGUACUUGGUGCCUCAAUUUUGGUUACUUUUGAGUCACCUUAUUGCAUUUAUUCAUUAAACUACUUUUGGGAAAAAAAAAAAGAGAGAAGGGAAAGCAAUAUAUAUAUAUGGACGGAAGACGUAGUCGUGGACGUGGACGCGGCCAUGGGAAUAAACGAGCCCAAGAGCCAAGAGGGGAAAGGGCAACAACAGCCGCACAAGAACCAGAACCUAGAGUUGAGGCCGGGGAUCAAAUGGCGACGGCAAUUCAACAAAUGGCAAACAUUUUGACAAGGUUGGUGGACCAACAAGGCCCAAUGCCUGUAAAUCAAACCCAGAACCCUGAAAUAGGCGAAGAUCGGGCUCUAGAGAGGUUUCAAAAGUUUAAUCCUCCGAAAUUUCUUGGAGGGCCUGAUCCGGACAUUGCUGAGCAAUGGGUAGAGACCAUGGUGAAUAUAUUCACAGCCUUAAACUACACCGAACAAAGGCAAGUGAACUUCGCAGUGUUUCAAUUUGAGGGACCGGCCCGAGCAUGGUGGAAUGUAAUUCGAGUAAAAUGGGAAAGAGAGCAGACUAUUUGGACCUGGGCGAACUUUACCAGAGAAUUUAAUGAGAAGUAUCUUCCACCUUUAGUCCAAGAAAGGAGGGAGGAGGAGUUUAUUGGGCUUCGCCAGGGAACAUUAAGUGUGGCCGAAUAUGAGACAAAAUUUACUAGGUUAUCCAAGUUUGCUUCUGAACUGGUAGCCACUGAACGACGAAGAGUAAGACGGUUUAUACAGGGACUGAAUUUGGACAUCCAAGAGGCGUUGGCAGCAGCGCAAGUGAAUACUUUUACGGAGGCCCUUGAGAAGGCUCAACGAAUCGAGAGUGCCAAGGCACAAGUAAAGGCCUCCCAAACUCGAAAAAGAGGUGCAUCGGGCAGUGGAUUGGAAGAGUUUAGUGAAACGAUGACGCCUUCUAAAGUGCAAAAGAUGAGCCAGUUAUCCUAUCCGCCAUGGACAAUAGGGGCGUUAAAUGAAAGGUCUACUAAAGGAAGCCACAUCGGACCUGCAGAGAUUUUUCAAGGAAGCCAAAAGAUGGCUUCUCACUUGACUUGUGGCUAUUGUGGAAAGGCCAACCAUACCGAAGAUGCUUGUUGGCGAAAAGGGCAGAAAUGUCUGAUCUGUGGAAGCAGUGAGCAUCAAGUGAGCAAUUGUCCGAGAAGACAUCCACGUGAGGGUAGUACUCAGUCACUGGAUGGAACUAAAUCAAAACCGGUGAAAGAAAAAGGGAACCGAACAAGUCUACCGGCAAAAGCAUAUGCGUUAGACAACCGACCAGUUCCGGACUCGCCUGGUGCUAAUGAAGGUGAGAAAAAAUUUCGAGGACGAAAUUUCCUAAGGGGGAGAGAGUGUGAGAACCCGUAAAUCCCCUAAUAUGUUUCCUAGGGUCUUUCCCCUUAAUUGCAUGUUUUCUGCAUUUUCUGGCUUAGAAAAUUUUCUUGGUGGAUUUUAUGGGUAAUUAUAGUUUUUAGAUGAUUUUUCUAGCAUUGGGUAGUUUUUGAAAAAUUAAGGAUAUAUAAUGGACGUGGGCCCCACUAGUGCGUAAAGUUCGGAAACAUUCGGCCAAUUAGGUUAAGUUUUGGAUACUGGUUGAACUUUAGCGGGUGUUAAGAGAUAAGUAGAGAAUGAGAUAUGAUUGAUGUGAGAGAGAAAAGAAAGGAUAGGAAUGCAUUAAUGGAGUGCCACGUGUCACUUGGUGAUUGGUUUUGACUUAAGAACACUAUUCAUUUUUUUUGACUUUUGACCAAAAUUGGUUAAAUAUCUAAAAAUUUCACAAAAAAAUCACCAUUUUCUUUCACCUUGUGGCCGGCCCUCUCUCUUGCCAAGAAGGAAGAAAACUUCUUCAAUCUUCAAGCUUUCCACUAGCUCAAAUCAUCCAAAUCAAUCACACAAACUAGUUUCCACUCCAUACAAUCUUUCCAUUUAGUGUUAGUGGUGAGUUUGGUGAAGUUUUUGGAAGAGCUAAGGUGGUCUACAACUCCUCUUCUCUUGUUUACUAGGUAAGUGAUGAUUGAACAUCCUCUUAUAGCUAAUGAUGCUUAUUUUGUGCCUAAUGGUGACUUGAGUGAUGGAAUGUGUGA